CCUACGGGUGGGCAGCAGUGGGGAAUAUUGGACAAUGGGGGCAACCCUGAUCCAGCCAUGCCGCGUGUGUGAAGAAGGCCCUCGGGUUGUAAAGCACUUUCAGUGAGGAAGAACGCCUGGUGGUUAAUACCCAUCAGGAAAGACAUCACUCACAGAAGAAGCACCGGCUAACUCCGUGCCAGCAGCCGCGGUAAUACGGAGGGUGCGAGCGUUAAUCGGAAUUACUGGGCGUAAAGCGCGCGUAGGUGGCUUGAUAAGCCGGUUGUGAAAGCCCCGGGCUCAACCUGGGAACGGCAUCCGGAACUGUCAAGCUAGAGUGCAGGAGAGGAAGGUAGAAUUCCCGGUGUAGCGGUGAAAUGCGUAGAGAUCGGGAGGAAUACCAGUGGCGAAGGCGGCCUUCUGGACUGACACUGACACUGAGGUGCGAAAGCGUGGGUAGCAAACAGGAUUAGAUACCCGAGUAGUC
RNAcentral lists this ribosomal RNA (466 nucleotides) under Vreelandella stevensii. RNAcentral describes it as "partial 16S ribosomal RNA". It matches the Rfam family "Bacterial small subunit ribosomal RNA", at positions 338 to 795 of the family's 1533-position model. The record is from RNAcentral. Lineage: Bacteria; Pseudomonadati; Pseudomonadota; Gammaproteobacteria; Oceanospirillales; Halomonadaceae.